Molecule: ribosomal RNA, 238 nt
Filed under: uncultured bacterium
Lineage: Bacteria
Description: partial 16S ribosomal RNA
Rfam family: Bacterial small subunit ribosomal RNA
Source: RNAcentral
GCGAACGGGUGAGUAACACAUCGGAACAUACCCAGUCGUGGGGGAUAACACUUCGAAAGAAGUGCUAAUACCGCAUACGUCCUGAGGGAGAAAGCGGGGGAUCUUCGGACCUCGCGCGAUUGGAGUGGCCGAUGUCAGAUUAGCUAGUUGGUGGGGUAAAGGCCUACCAAGGCGACGAUCUGUAGCUGGUCUGAGAGGACGACCAGCCACACUGGGACUGAGACACGGCCCAGACUCC